AAGAAGAUGUUGUUGUUGU
Molecule: small nuclear RNA, 19 nt
Filed under: Arabidopsis thaliana (thale cress)
Lineage: Eukaryota; Viridiplantae; Streptophyta; Magnoliopsida; Brassicales; Brassicaceae
Description: snRNA_16481
Source: RNAcentral